UACGUAGGCGGAAGAUUAAGUCAGUGGUGAAAUCCUGCAGCUCAACUGUAGAACUGUCAUUGAUACUGAUUUUCUUGAAUACAGUAGAGGUAGGCGGAAUAUGUAAUGUAGCGGUGAAAUGCUUAGAUAUUACAUAGAACACCGAUUGCGAAGGCAGCUUACUAUACUGUGAUUGACGCUGAGGCACGAAAGCGUGGGGAGCGAACAGGAUUAGAUACCCUGGUAGUCC
RNAcentral lists this ribosomal RNA (229 nucleotides) under uncultured bacterium. Its description in RNAcentral is "partial 16S ribosomal RNA". It matches the Rfam family "Bacterial small subunit ribosomal RNA", at positions 568 to 796 of the family's 1533-position model. The record is from RNAcentral.